CCUGACGGUAGUCGUAUGCUCGUCUCCGAGACUAAGCCAUGCAAGUCCAAGUACACGUCCUUGAACGACGGAAACUGCGAACGGCUCAUUAAAUCAGUUGCGAUCUACUCGGCGUUCCGCGCCGCCGGAUAACCGUAGUAAUUCUAGGGCUAAUACGUGCGAAGCGCCCGAAGCCGCGAGGCGACGGGCGUUCUCGCCGGAUGUAGGAACCGACCCGGGGACCGCCGGGGCAACCCGGCGCCCCCGAGACGGGGCGAACCACGGUGAAAUGACGGAUCGUCGGCCCCGCGCCGGCGACUCGCCGAAUGAAUUUCUGACCUAUCAACUCGAGACGGCGGGGUAGAGGCCCGCCGCGGUAACGACGGGUAACGGGGAAUCAGGGUUCGAUUCCGGAGAGGGAGCCCGAGAAACGGCUACCACUUCCAAGGAAGGCAGC
This 436-nucleotide ribosomal RNA is filed under the name uncultured eukaryote. Its description in RNAcentral is "bacterial SSU rRNA". It matches the Rfam family "Eukaryotic small subunit ribosomal RNA", at positions 13 to 429 of the family's 1831-position model. The record is from RNAcentral.